CUGUGUCCUUCGACGCCGGUUCACCGCCUGUCGGUGCCAACUGGCGUUUUGCGGGACGUCCUGUCGGUGGUGUGUCAGGAAUCUUAGUUGUGCUAUGCUCUGCUUAGUGCAGCUCUGGUUUCGGGCCACUUUCAUAAUCCCGCCGCGGUGCUCUUAAUCGAGUGUCGAGGCGGGCCGGCACGUUUACUUUGAACAAAUUAGAGUGCUUCAAGCAGGCUUGUCACGCCUGUAUACUGUGUGCAUGGAAUAAUGGAAUAGGACCUCGGUUCUAUUUUGUUGGUUUCCGGAAUCUGAGGUAAUGAUCAAUGGGGACAGGCGGGGGCAUUCGUAUUGCGACGUUAGAGGUGAAAUUCUUGGAUCGUCGCAAGACGGACCGAAGCGAAAGCAUUUGCCAAGUAUGUUCCCGUCGAUCAAGAACGAAAGUUAGAGGUUCGAAGGCGAUCAGAUACCGCCCUAGUUCUAACCAUAAACAAUGCCUGCCAGCGAUCCGCCGGCGUCCCUCCGAUGACCCGGCGGGCAGCUUCCGGGAAACCAGAGCUUUUGGGUUCCGGGGGAAGUAUGGUUGCAAAGCUGAAACUUAAAGGAAUUGACGGAAGGGCACCACCAGGAGUGGAGCCUGCGGCUUAAUUUGACUCAACACGGGAAAACUCACCAGGCCCGGACACUGGAAGGAUUGACAGAUUGAUAGCUCUUUCUUGAUUCAGUGGGUGGUGGUGCAUGGCCGUUCUUAGUUGGUGGAGCGAUUUGUCUGGUUAAUUCCGAUAACGAACGAGACUCUAGCCUACUAACUAGACGUAUCUGGUAUCAUCAAUCGUGCUACCAGCGAUCAUAUCUCUUCUUAGAGGGACAGGCGGCUUCUAGCCGCACGAGACUGAGCAAUAACAGGUCUGUGAUGCCCUUAGAUGUACUGGGCCGCACGCGCGCUACACUGAAGGAAUCAGCGUGUCUUCCCUGUCCGAAAGGACCGGGUAACCCGCUGAACCUCCUUCGUGCUUGGGAUUGGGGCUUGCAAUUGUUCCCCAUGAACGAGGAAUUCCCAGUAAGCGCGAGUCAUAAGCUCGCGU
Molecule: ribosomal RNA, 1064 nt
Filed under: Delphacodes atralabis
Lineage: Eukaryota; Metazoa; Arthropoda; Insecta; Hemiptera; Delphacidae
Description: SSU rRNA
Rfam family: Eukaryotic small subunit ribosomal RNA
Source: RNAcentral